UGCUGCCCUGGAGCGCCGCCACCCCGCUGCCCCCGCCAUCUUCCCGAGCGCGCCGCUGCCGCCGUCUUCCCCAAAGCGCCACCGCCCCGCCACCCCCGCCCACGGGACCAGUGGUCCCAUCGCCGGUCUCCCCCCACCCAGAUCUGCCGGAGGCGCACCGGAUCCUGCCUCACGGCCGGUUCCCGCGACCCCCACCUGGCCCCUUCCUCGAACCCAUUUUUUUCUCUUUGAAUGGCUUCUACCAAAGAGGCAUGUCAACACCCACCCAUGGAUGGAUGGGGAUGAGGCGACGGCGGCGGCGGCGGCCUUCUCUCGGUGCUUGCUGAUGUGGUGGACAUCGACGUCGGUGACGGGUUGCAGCACGUAGACAUCAAAGGUACCUUGCAGAGUUUAAGACUGGUGCGGAAAGGAAGGACAUCGCUCUUGCAGUUUUGGCUCCGACUCAUCCCAUCAGGCUUGAGCUUGCACUCCACUUUUCUGUGUUCUGCUAUGAGAUCUCGAACUCCCCUGACCAAUCCUGCAACCUUGCAAAACAGGUUUGCUGCAUCUCCUUUCUUCUCCAUUUGUUUCAGUUAUCAUGAUUGUCAGCCCAGUAAUUGAUUCCAGUUGGUGUAAGUAGUCGUGGUUAUCUCCGUAGACACCUGGGGCAGUGUACUACCUCUUCUCUGAUUUGCCAGCUAACAUGUUUGUGGAUAGGUUCUACUCCAACCCCCUUAGAAAAUGAAGCUACAUGAAAUCAAUCCACUUCUAGCACCUAUGCUUGUGCAGGGAAAGUAUAUAAUGCUUUGGUAGAACUCCCCCAAUUUUUUUCAAUUUGUCUUAACCAAGGAAGUUACUAUGCUAGGAUUUUGUUUAUUUUCUAUAGUAACUUCUGAAAUGGUCAAUCUUAAGGUACAUGAUAUAAGGAAAUCCAUACUACCAUUAUAUUUAUUUAUUUAUUGACUAAAUACUUUGUGGCAAAAGGUGAGUUGGUAGUCUCGCCCCAUUUUUUUAUACCCAGCAACAACUGAUUCCUCACAUCCAACCCACACGGCGGCCAUGACUGACCUUCGGCGAAGCACCACGAUGAAUGCCAGGUUCAAAGAGUAGUGAUGCCAUAUGUAAAUUGCACUAAUGGUAUGGGAACGAAUUAUAAGUUAUUUUUGAACACAUCAACCAUUGUUCUGGAUUGUCUUUGCAACCCCCUUAUAGUUUUGUUAUGACUUUUUCUUUACCUAUAAUUAGUAAUGAAUAUGUUGUCCUUCCACCCUUUAGGUGUUACUAUCUGGAGGUGACUAGCAAAUUCAUCAUAGUUGCACUUGGCAGGAGGUAUAGUAUGACCAUUAAUUAUGCUCAGCAAAGGAAAUAUCACCAAAGUGCGUAAAUCAUAAUUUUUCAGUUUUUAUUUGGCAAGCUGGAGUUACAAAGAAAAUUUCUUUUUUGGUGCACAUCUAUAUAUGAGUGGAUACAACUGGGUGACCCACUGUGAGGCAUGGUUCUUCAGUUAUCCCGAGGAUGUUCAAAAUCUGUCUUUUCAUUAUAUGCUCUAUUUAAAAUCUACCAUGUUCAUUAUAUUCUGUGUCUAAUCUGUUGUCUUCCCUAAAUAGUAUGAUUGAAAUAUUAGCAGCAAAUUUAUUCUCAGGAUUGUUAAUGACCGACGCAUGCUGUUUGUCAAACAGGCAAUAUUCCACUGCCUCGAGCACACACAAAUGGUUAAUGCGCUCAAGUGGCUGUUCGUCUCUGGGUAAGUUUAUAAAACCUAAAAGGAUCCACAUUUAUUCCUUUUUUACCAUCUCUUUGCAGUUUGACAUGAUCCAUUGAUUUAUCUUUUUUUUCUAAGCGAUGUGCUGCACAGUUCAUUGUUAGUCCGUAAUUCUGAAUGCUUUAGUACCUACCUCAGAGAGGUUCAUCAUGCACAUUCUUGACCCUGCACAAAUGCUUGUCCAGUUUGAAGGCCCAUCCUAUACUGCCUUCCAGCUUUAAACUCCAUCUGGAUAUAACUACACUCUUAGUUGAUUCAUAGUUAUGUGGAAUGGUUGCAGACUGAAGGUCUCACUUGUGAUGUUCUGGAAUUAUACGUAUGUAGAGCAUUGUGUUAUGGUUCUUCUGAGCGAGCAGUUACCCGAUGCAAUAUAUUUGCUGGUGUUUAAAUAUCGUCCUGCUGAGAAUACAAUAUGACUUCUUAUGGAUUUAGGUGAAACUUAUGUAUGUGACCGUAUUGUAGUAUACUGACAUAUUGUAGUACACAUCUUGCUCGGAUGAACUCUGGUCUGGCCAAGGGCGCGUUCUGGGGUGGAAAGGAUAGGCCUUUUGCCCCUUUGCCAGUCGGCGGCACGGUGGUUCGUGCCGAGGAUGGCGGGAUGGUUGCAGAUGCCCGGGCGGCGGCCCGGGUGGUGGGAGCUGCGGUGCUUGUGGGCAAAACCCAUGGAUCAGAUGGUGGCCGACGAUCAUGAUGCUUGUGGGCGAAGCCCGUGGGUCGGAUGGUGGCCGACGAUCAUGGUCGUGAGUGAUGCAUGGUGGCUGGCGAUCGGCGGUCCGAGGUGGUGGUACAACAGUGCCCGUACCGUGUUUCGGGCAUGGAUCAUGCGCGCUAGGGUGAAAACCUUGUAUGCCUUUGGGCAGGCCAUCGGUGACGGCGCCCGUGGGCAUCACCCCCUUGUUGAAGGCACCGUCACGGCUACUCCAUCCUCUCCGGAACACUCUGGGUGAAACCCCAUAUCACUUUGAUCGGGCGGUUACGGUGCUCCGGUGUCGUGCCCUUCCUAAAGGCACUGCUUUGGAGGCCUCGGCUCGUCGAUGUUCGAUUGUGUCCCCAUUUACCUCAAGUGGUGCUUGGUUGCUUAUCGUCGUUUGCUUGGUGGUAUCUAGGGUGUAGCUGAUCUUCAACUUCUCUCUAUCCAGCCUAUGGUGUGUAUGGUGUAUCAGUUCUUGCAUUAGAUUAGAUUGUCCAUCUUCUCAUUUUCAUUGCCAUGCUAUUAAAUUUGGAUCUGCCUGUUUUUUCGUUCCAAUUAAAAUCAACAUCUAUGAUAUUUAUAUGAUAACUGCUUUGUUCUCUAUGUUUGAUACACUCCACCUUAAUUUUCUUUUACUUAGAAAGACGGCUAGAGAUUAUAUUCUUCCCAUUAUGUGCAGUAUGGUACCUAACUAUUUUUAGCGGAAAAUACUCUAAAAAUAUCAUACCAUUCCAAUUUUGAUUUUUUUUUCAUAUUUGGCAUAAAUUUAAGUGGUCGCACCCUUCUCCGGACACUGCGCAAGCGAUACUACAUGUACCAGACUUUUUAUAUUUGGCACAAAUUUCUUUGGAGCAAAAUUUUCUGAACCUCCCAGCAUAUGGUUGCUUCUAUGUGGAAUAUGUGAUUGCCGGCGAUACACAAAGGUGCCCCUGAACACUGAUAAAAUUUAACGAGCUGCAUUGAGAAAUUUUGAUUGGUAAAGCUGUAAGUUUAGGUGGAAUAUGUGAUUGGGGGCGAUACGCUGAACGAUGUGGCGGCAGAUGGGCUAUGCUCUGGUAGUGAUUGCAGGGAUGUCGUAGGACGAAGUUUGCAACGAUGGUUGGAGUUAGUGCUGGGAAAGGGAAGUGGUGUUGGUUGGUUAUUGUCCGUCAUUUUGUGUAUUGUCUGUUAUUUUUGUUUGAGUAGCUGACAUCCUUCUCUCUAUUAUCUCUCUAUUGUUUCUGUCUAUGCUCAGGAAAGAAGAAAUGUCCGAAGAAGGACCAAUGCGGGUUAUUACAUGAUUUGGAUGUGCAAUGUUUUUGAAAAUAAAGGUUUCAAGCAUGGUUCACUUUUAACUGGCGAUAAUGCUCUCGAGUCAUAUCCUGAUUUCUGCGACUACUUCUCUUAUGGAUCUUAAGAGAACUCGAGGGAUAUCGUUUCGAACAAAAUCUCGCUAUCCUUGUUUAACUCAAUGGAAUCAGAUAAUUUAAUUGUGUUCCCUAACAAGUCCUUGUAGAUGUGCACCUUCCCCCUCUGACCAUCUCCUCAGGAUCUCUCUCUAAUCCUAGAGCCUGGCAAUAAGAAUGGUUGGUUUUAAGAACAACAUGUAUCUAUUUAUUCAUUAUUGAUUUAUUGUUUUCGGGGAAUUGUUUUGCCCCUAAUCAUAUCAUUGUUACUCUGCCUGCAUUAGAUUAUGAGUAUGACAAUGAUGAAUUUUAUGUAAAUGCUAAUGGUUGACUACCACAUUACAAUGCUAGGCCUGCCUGAGUUUUGAGGACCUUUCUACUUUCCAUUCCACAAGAAAAAUAACACACAAAUUUAUCGCACAGUAGAUACAGUAGCGCACAGUACAUACAGUAGAUACUGUUCCAACGAGUGCCUGUCCCUGGGCGUGGCGAAAUCCUGCCCACGGCAAUGCUUCCAUGUAUCACAUUUUGUAUUCUACUUUCUUUACCCGAAUGAUGCACAAUCCAAGCAGAUUUACCUUAAUUGUGUUUAAUUUGUUUACAUGGUCAGUUAACAUUGUAGAUUUAUGUAUUUAUUUAGUCUUGGCCAUGUAUAAUUUUGUGCACGAUGUUGGGAAUGGUACUUAUUGACAACUUCCAGCAACUUUGUUUAUUAUGUACAGUGCCAAUUACAUGGCAUGUUGAUUCUCAUAACACGAUUUUUGGUGCACUUCUCACCUAUACACCGAGAAUGAAAUUGGAGACAACAUCCAUGAGAAUUGCAUAAUCUAAUUUACGAAUUACUGAGAUAAUUGCUUGUGUCUUCACUCUUUACACUAUGCAUAGAAUGAUAAAUUAUAACAUUUCUUGGACAUUUGAAUCAUAAGUUGAUU
RNA transcript from Triticum aestivum (bread wheat), 4749 nucleotides. RefSeq lists it as uncharacterized. NCBI's taxonomy places the organism in Eukaryota, Viridiplantae, Streptophyta, Magnoliopsida, Poales, Poaceae. The record is from RefSeq and is a predicted model, not a curated record. The transcript is spliced from 6 exons.